Molecule: ribosomal RNA, 606 nt
Filed under: uncultured Mycoplasma sp.
Lineage: Bacteria; Bacillati; Mycoplasmatota; Mollicutes; Mycoplasmatales; Mycoplasmataceae
Description: bacterial SSU rRNA
Rfam family: Bacterial small subunit ribosomal RNA
Source: RNAcentral
GCAAGCGCAGGCGGAUGCAUAAGUUCUGUGUGAAAAGCAGUUGCUUAACAAUUGUUGGCACCGAAUACUAUGCAUCUAGAAUGUGGUAGGAAGUUUUGGAAUUAAAUAUGGAGCGGUGGAAUGUGUAGAUAUAUUUAAGAACACCAGAGGCGAAGGCGAAAACUUAGGCCAUAAUUGACGCUUAGGCUUGAAAGUGUGGGGAGCAAAUGGGAUUAGAUACCCCAGUAGUCCACACCGUAAACGAUGGGUAUUAGAUAUCGGGUUCUGAGACUCGGUGUUGUAGCUUACGUGUUAAAUACCCCGCCUGGGUAGUACACAUGCAAAUGUGAAACUCAAAGGAAUUGACGGGGAUCUGAACAAGUGGUGGAGCAUGUUGCUUAAUUCGAUAAUACACGAAAAACCUUACCAAGAUUUGACAUCUCCCGCGAAGCUAUAGAAAUAUAGUGGAGGUUAUCGGGAUGACAGGUGGUGCAUGGUUGUCGUCAGCUCGUGUCUUGAGAUGUUUGGUUAAGUCCCAUAACGAGCGCAACCUUACUUCUUUGUUAUUUUUCUAAGAAGACUGAACAGUAAUGUAUAGGAAGGUCGAGAUCACGUCAAAUCAUCAUG